Molecule: ribosomal RNA, 690 nt
Filed under: uncultured bacterium
Lineage: Bacteria
Description: bacterial SSU rRNA
Rfam family: Bacterial small subunit ribosomal RNA
Source: RNAcentral
AUCCUGGCUCAGAACGAACGCUGGCGGCAGGCUUAAUACAUGCAAGUCGAACGGUUGUAGCAAUACAGCAGUGGCAGACGGGUGAGUAACACGUGAGAACCUACCUAGGGGUACGGAAUAACUCAGGGAAACUUGUGCUAAUACCGUAUACGACCUUCGGGUGAAAGAUUUAUCGCCCCUAGAUGGGCCCGCGUUGGAUUAGCUAGUUGGUGGGGUAAAAGCCUACCAAGGCGACGAUCCAUAGCUGGUCUGAGAGGAUGAUCAGCCACACUGGGACUGAGACACGGCCCAGACUCCUACGGGAGGCAGCAGUAGGGAAUCUUGGACAAUGGGCGAAAGCCUGAUCCAGCCAUGCCGCGUGAGUGAUGAAGGCCUUAGGGUUGUAAAGCUCUUUCGCCAGGGAAGAUAAUGACGGUACCUGGAUAAGAAGCCCCGGCUAACUUCGUGCCAGCAGCCGCGGUAAUACGAAGGGGGCUAGCGUUGUUCGGAAUUACUGGGCGUAAAGCGCACGUAGGCGGUUUUCCAAGUUGGAGGUGAAAUCCCUGGGCUCAACCCGGGAACUGCCUCCAAAACUGGAUGACUCGAGUCCGAGAGAGGUGAGUGGAAUUUCCAGUGUAGAGGUGAAAUUCGUAGAUAUUGGAAAGAACACCAGUGGCGAAGGCGGCUCACUGGCUCGGUACUGACGCUAAG